RNAcentral lists this ribosomal RNA (468 nucleotides) under uncultured bacterium. RNAcentral describes it as "partial 16S ribosomal RNA". It matches the Rfam family "Bacterial small subunit ribosomal RNA", at positions 28 to 507 of the family's 1533-position model. The record is from RNAcentral.
GACGAACGCUGGCGGCGUGCUUAACACAUGCAAGUCGAACGGAAAGGCCCGGCUUUGGGGGGGUGCUCGAGUGGCGAACGGGUGAGUAACACGUGAGUAACCUGCCCCUGACUGUGGGAUAACUUCAGGAAACUGGGGCUAAUACCGGCUAGGAGCUCCUGCUGCAUGGUGGGGGUUGGAAAGUUUCGGCGGUUGGGGAUGGACUCGCGGCUUAUCAGCUUGUUGGUGGGGUAGUGGCUUACCAAGGCUUUGACCCGUAGCCUGGCUGAGAGGGUGACCGGCCACACUGGGAUUGGGAUGCGACCCAGACUCCUAUGGGAGGCAGCGGUGCGGUAGAUAGCACAAUGGGCGGAAGCCUAAUGCAGCAACGCCGCGUGCGGGAUGACGUGCUUCCGGUUGUAUUCUGCUUUCGUCUGUGACGAAGCGUUAGUGACGGUAAUGGGUGAAGAAGCACCGGCUAACUACGUG